Molecule: ribosomal RNA, 577 nt
Filed under: uncultured Lactobacillus sp.
Lineage: Bacteria; Bacillati; Bacillota; Bacilli; Lactobacillales; Lactobacillaceae
Description: bacterial SSU rRNA
Rfam family: Bacterial small subunit ribosomal RNA
Source: RNAcentral
AGAGUUUGAUCCUGGCUCAGGACGAACGCUGGCGGCGUGCCUAAUACAUGCAAGUCGAACGCACUCUCGUUAGAUUGAAGAAGCUUGCUUCUGAUUGAUAACAUUUGAGUGAGUGGCGGACGGGUGAGUAACACGUGGGUAACCUGCCCUAAAGUGGGGGAUAACAUUUGGAAACAGAUGCUAAUACCGCAUAAAACCUAGCACCGCAUGGUGCAAGGUUGAAAGAUGGUUUCGGCUAUCACUUUAGGAUGGACCCGCGGUGCAUUAGUUAGUUGGUGAGGUAAAGGCUCACCAAGACCGUGAUGCAUAGCCGACCUGAGAGGGUAAUCGGCCACACUGGGACUGAGACACGGCCCAGACUCCUACGGGAGGCAGCAGUAGGGAAUCUUCCACAAUGGACGAAAGUCUGAUGGAGCAACGCCGCGUGAGUGAAGAAGGUUUUCGGAUCGUAAAACUCUGUUGUUGGAGAAGAAUGUAUCUGAUAGUAACUGAUCAGGUAGUGACGGUAUCCAACCAGAAAGCCACGGCUAACUACGUGCCAGCAGCCGCGGUAAUACGUAGGUGGCAAGCGUUGUCC